Molecule: ribosomal RNA, 506 nt
Filed under: uncultured bacterium
Lineage: Bacteria
Description: partial 16S ribosomal RNA
Rfam family: Bacterial small subunit ribosomal RNA
Source: RNAcentral
GAUGAACGCUAGCUACAGGCUUAACACAUGCAAGUCGAGGGGUAACGAGAGGAAAGCUUGCUUUCCUUGUCGACGACCGGCGCACGGGUGAGUAACGCGUAUCCAACCUGCCCCCAACUAGGGAAUAACCUUGCGAAAGUAAGACUAAUACCCUAUAAUUUCCUCAGAUGACAUCUGACGAGGAAUAAAGAUUUAUCGGUUGUGGAUGGGGAUGCGCCUGAUUAGCUUGUUGGCGGGGUAACGGCCCGCCAAGGCAACGAUCAGUAGGGGUUCUGAGAGGAAGGUCCCCCACAUUGGAACUGAGACACGGUCCAAACUCCUACGGGAGGCAGCAGUGAGGAAUAUUGGUCAGUGGGCGGAAGCCUGAACCAGCCAAGUAGCGUGCAGGAUGACGGCCCUAUGGGUUGUAAACUGCUUUUAUACAGGAAUAAAGUUAGCCACGUGUGGUUAUUUGUAGGUACUGUAUGAAUAAGGACCGGCUAAUUCCGUGCCAGCCGCCGCCGUAA